AGCUGCUUGGUUGUCUAUGUUCAUCAAAGGUGCUCUCUCUUUUCCAUCUUUCUUUUUAUUUACUUAAUCCUAGAUGGGUGACUACUAAUUUCCAUGUCUACUGGGAGGAAGAAGGUUGGCGGACGUAUCUUUGUGACUAUGUCAUUCACGUGCUUUGUUUCAACUCAUAAAGUGGAUCCUUUUUAAGCUAUAUCAAAUCAUAAGACAUAAUUUUCAGUUGAUUUUUUUCUUCUAAUUCCCAGUUUAUUGCUUCACAUAGACUAUUACAUAUUUAUGCUAGCCAAUUCAAAGCUUUGUCCCAAGGGCAAGCAUACCAUUGAAAAAAUAAAUACAUGUAUGACAGAUCAGCCAGCAACUUGUUGAUCUGUGAUUCUUUGAAAUUUGAUGCUUAUAACUGUUUAUAAGUCAGUAUUGUUCAGAGCCAAAGAUAAGUAACAAUCUAUUUGGUUAAGUUGAACACUUUCAGAUCAGGAGUAGUAGAAAUUCUUAAGGGCAUUGGGAUAUUGAACUGCAGAUAGCUUCGGCAGGUUUGUUAGGCUAAUAUAAAGUAGGGACCUUUGCUACAUAAUGAUACAAAGAUGAUACCGAAGGUUGUUUUGCAACUAGCAAGUUUCAAGGUCACAUGGAUGCUGACAGCUCUCAGGUGUAUGGCCUAUUUGUUGCUGGGUAUUGUUGCCUUUCUUCCUGGUUUAUACAGCGGAGGAUCCUGAGUUGAUGCAUAUAUUGGCUCAAAAAGUAACUAGGCUCUGAAGUGCAGAUUGACAAGAGCCAUCCAGGGGCCAGGGCGAUUAGAUGCCCAUCACUCACGGCGGCAAGAAGUUCCGUGUCGAGUUGAUGAACCAGCACCAGCUGGGAGCCCGGAUGAAGAAGGUUGUCCCCGCGGGGAAAAAGGAGAAGUGAUGAGAUGUUUUUGACAGCUAAUGGAUGAUGUUAUCUUAGUCUGUGAAUUUUUGUUUUGGUCGAUUUAGAAACCUUGUUUGAUGUCUGAAGAUCCCUUUUUGCCCACUGUUCAAACCAUCUCUUCAUUUUUGUGUAAAUGGUAACAAUACACUUCAAACAAUUAAGUUGUCAUCCCAAAAAAUAUUUUGUAAAAGGAUGUACUUAUCGCCUCAAUAAUCCUUAAUCGUCACGUAGAUUUCAUUUUCA
This is a long non-coding RNA of Triticum aestivum (bread wheat), 1146 nucleotides long. RefSeq lists it as uncharacterized. The transcript has 5 exons. The record is from RefSeq and is a predicted model, not a curated record. NCBI's taxonomy places the organism in Eukaryota, Viridiplantae, Streptophyta, Magnoliopsida, Poales, Poaceae.